UACGAAGGGUGCAAGCGUUAAUCGGAAUUACUGGGCGUAAAGCGUGCGUAGGCGGUUUGUUAAGUCUGUUGUGAAAUCCCCGGGCUCAACCUGGGAAUGGCAAUGGAUACUGGCAAGCUAGAGUGUGUCAGAGGAUGGUGGAAUUCCCGGUGUAGCGGUGAAAUGCGUAGAGAUCGGGAGGAAUACCGAUGGCGAAGGCAGGUCUCUGGGCUGACACUGACGCUCAUGCACGAAAGCGUGGGGAGCAAACAGG
Molecule: ribosomal RNA, 253 nt
Filed under: uncultured bacterium
Lineage: Bacteria
Description: partial 16S ribosomal RNA
Rfam family: Bacterial small subunit ribosomal RNA
Source: RNAcentral